Molecule: long non-coding RNA, 642 nt
Organism: Diabrotica virgifera virgifera (western corn rootworm)
Lineage: Eukaryota; Metazoa; Arthropoda; Insecta; Coleoptera; Chrysomelidae
Exons: 3
Source: RefSeq, a predicted model, not a curated record
CGACUAAGUGACUUAGAUUUAGCAUAAUAAGACUAUGCGACAUAAUAUUGGCGCUUGGUCGCCUUAUGCAAAAACGGAAAUCGGCGGGAUUUUGGCAGCAUUGUUUCCGUCUUGUUAAUUUGUUAAUUCAGUUCAGUCUGUUGAGCAAUAUAAAAAGUGUCGCGUUAUAUUUUUUAUAAAAGUUGUGUUUAAAAGUGUAAAAAAGCGUGUAAAUAUGUUGCAGAGGACUGCUCUAAUUUUAAACCGUGCUCGAGAAAUAACAAACGAGGAGAAGGUAAGUUAUUUUGUAUUGUAAAAAUUACCAGACAUUAUUUUUGAGGUGUAAAUUAAAAACUUAAAUUUUUACAGUAGUUUUGUUUAUCUUUAUUUACUUUAUUUAUAGGAAGAAGGUAUUCGGCAAGAAACAAGUUCGCUUCAGACUUAUACCAACUUAGAACCGUUACAGGAAGUUGAUUUUAACUCAGCAACAGAUAUUAGUGAGAAAGAAAGUACUCAUACAGCAGCUGUUUCCCCAAAGACUUACAGCGAUUUACAAACGGUUCGGGAAGUGGAAUUUAAUCUAAAAUUACCAGACAUAAUUUAUGAGGAAGGAAGUAAUUCGGAUGGAUAUUCAAACAAGGAAAAUGAAAUAGGUGACGUAAG